GACGAACGCUGGCGGCGUGCUUAACACAUGCAAGUCGAGCGGUAAGGCCCUUUCGGGGGUACACGAGCGGCGAACGGGUGAGUAACACGUGGGUGACCUGCCCUCAGCUCUGGGAUAAGCCUGGGAAACCGGGUCUAAUACUGGAUAUGACUCCAUGACGCAUGUUGUGGGGUGGAAAGCCUUGUGCGGCUGAGGAUGGCCCGCGGCCUAUCAGCUUGUUGGUGGGGUGANGGCCUACCAAGGCGACGACGGGUAGCCGGCCUGAGAGGGCGACCGGCCACACUGGGACUGAGACACGGCCCAGACUCCUACGGGAGGCAGCAGUGGGGAAUCUUGCGCAAUGGGCGAAAGCCUGACGCAGCGACGCCGCGUGAGGGAUGACGGCCU
This 387-nucleotide ribosomal RNA is filed under the name uncultured bacterium. RNAcentral's name for it is "bacterial SSU rRNA". It matches the Rfam family "Bacterial small subunit ribosomal RNA", at positions 28 to 417 of the family's 1533-position model. The record is from RNAcentral.